Molecule: ribosomal RNA, 873 nt
Filed under: Archaeorhizomyces finlayi
Lineage: Eukaryota; Fungi; Ascomycota; Archaeorhizomycetes; Archaeorhizomycetales; Archaeorhizomycetaceae
Description: LSU rRNA
Rfam family: Eukaryotic large subunit ribosomal RNA
Source: RNAcentral
AUUCCCUUAGUAGUGGCGAAUGAAUCGGGAAAAGCUCAAGUUUGAAAUCCGAGGUUUACCUCGGAGUUGUAAGCUGAAGAGGCAUCGAUCGACCCGGUCCGGGCUCAAUUUCCUUGGAACAGGAGGUCAUGGAGGGUGAGAACCCCGUCUGUGGCUCGGGUGCCGUGGUCCUUGUGUCGUGUCCUCGAAGAGUCGGGUUGUUUGGGAAUGCAGCUCAAAAUGGGUGGUAAAUUUCAUCUAAAGCUAAAUAUUGGCGAGAGACCGAUAGCAAACAAGUAGAGUGAUCGAAAGAUGAAAAGUACUUUGAAAAGAGAGUGAAACAGUACGUGAAAUUGUUGAAAGGGAAGCGUUUGGCAUCAGCCCGUGGCCUUUGUCGAUCAUCCGGGCUUCUGCCCGGUGCCCUCGACGAGGGUUGGGCCAGCGUCGACUUUUUGAGCCGGAGAAAGGCCUUGGGAAUGUGGUUCCUUUUGGAGCGUUAUAUCCCUCGGCGUCAUGCGGCUCUGCGAGGUCGAGGUCUGCGGUUUAAUAACCUAGGACGCUGGCGUAAUGGUUCCAAGCGACCCGUCUUGAAACACGGACCAAGGAGUCUAACAUCUAUGCGAGUGUUUGGGUGUCAAGCCCUUCCGCGCAAUGAAAGUGAAUGCAGGCGGGAGCUUUUAGAGGGCCCACCGUCGACCGGUCCGGGGGUUUACCGAAGGAUCUGAGUAAGAGCAUAGCUGUUGGGACCCGAAAGAUGGUGAACUAUGCCUGAAUAGGGUGAGGCCAGAGGAAACUCUGGUGGAGGCUCGAAGCGGUUCUGACGUGCAAAUCGAUCGUCGAAUUUGGGCAUAGGGGCGAAAGACUAAUCGAACCAUCUAGUAGCUGGUUCCUGCC